AAUGCUUGUGUGCUUCUGUCUUUCAUGAACAACAAACGGAAAUCAAGGAGGACUCCAUCAACACUUAGCACCUGACAACUGUCUGGACCUGUACCUGAACCAGAGCCACAUGGACCCAGGGACAGGAAAAGGCAGUGCAGCUAAUGCUGCGCUGAGAGUCUGAGGGUCCUGAAUGGCCAGCCGUCCUGGUAGGGGAUCCUGCAAAGACUCGGCCUACCUGAAGGUUUCUUCCUUUUUUCCCGAAUAAGGGUUUUUUAGGGAGUUUUUCCUGACAUGCUUUGCAGGUCGAAGGCUGAAGACUCAAAGAACAUCAAGAUAUCUUUUACACCUGAAUCCAGCUAUUUUUCCCUUUUUCAUUUUGUUAUUUUUUUUCCCAUGACAACGGGCUAUAACCAUGAAGCUUAAACUUGCAAUGAUUAUUGAUACAGAUUUUCAAUGGACUCCACACAAUGCACCUGUUGUGCAAAAUGUUUUAUUUUCAUGCGUAUAUAUUUUG
This is a long non-coding RNA of Epinephelus moara (kelp grouper), 496 nucleotides long. RefSeq lists it as uncharacterized. The record is from RefSeq and is a predicted model, not a curated record. Lineage: Eukaryota; Metazoa; Chordata; Actinopteri; Perciformes; Serranidae. The transcript is spliced from 3 exons.